CCUACGGGAGGCAGCAGUAAGGAAUAUUGGUCAAUGGACGAAAGUCUGAACCAGCCAUCCCGCGUGCAGGAUGAAAGCCCUAUGGGUUGUAAACUGCUUUUAGCAGAGAAGAAAAGCUUCCAUUUAUGGGGGUCUGACGGUAUCUGCAGAAUAAGCACCGGCUAACUCCGUGCCAGCAGCCGCGGUAAUACGGCGGGUGCGAGCGUUAUCCGGGUUUACUGGGUUUUAGGGGUGGUUUUACGGAGUAGUAGAAAUCUUGUAGCUUAACGAUAAAAUUGCCAAUGAUACUGGUACUCUUGAAUUGGGUUGAGGUUAGCGGAAUGUGACAUGUAGCGGUGAAAUGCAUAGAUAUGUCAUGGAACACCAAUUGCGAAGGCAGCUAACUGGGCCUUGAUUGACGCUGAGGCACGAAAGCGUGGGUAGCGAACAGGAUUAGAUACCCGAGUAGUC
This 450-nucleotide ribosomal RNA is filed under the name uncultured bacterium. RNAcentral describes it as "partial 16S ribosomal RNA". It matches the Rfam family "Bacterial small subunit ribosomal RNA", at positions 338 to 795 of the family's 1533-position model. The record is from RNAcentral.